CUCCGCUUGGUGUAGUUGGUUUAUCACGUUCGGCUGUAAUGGAAACUCCAAUGUUACCGAAAGGUCCCUAGUUCGAUUCUGGGAGCGGAGA
Molecule: non-coding RNA, 91 nt
Organism: Lineolata rhizophorae
Lineage: Eukaryota; Fungi; Ascomycota; Dothideomycetes; Lineolatales; Lineolataceae
Source: the annotation of a GenBank genome assembly